UGAGACCCAAAAAAAAAAGGAAAAAUAAAAAAAAAAGAUAUUUGGGGUGUUCGGGCUUCCUGAAGGUAAUACCCGGGUAUUAGGUUAUGGGGCUAUGAUAAGGUUAAAGGUUUUUGGUUUGAGGGUUAAAAUCAGUGUCCAAAACCUUUGUAGGAACUCUUUUCCAACCUUUUGGAGUUAGUUACCCCAAAAGAAAUGAAAAAUGAAAAAAAAAUGUUUGGGGUGUUCUGGCAUCCUGAAGGUAAUACCCGGGUUUUAGGUUAUGGGGCUAGGGUAAGGUUCAAGGUUUUUGGCGUUAGGGUUAAAAUCACUGUCCAAAACCUUUGUAGGAACUCUUUUCCAACCUUUUGGAGUUAGUUAGACCAGAAAAAAAGAAAAAAGAAAAAAAAAAUAUUUGGGGUUUUCGGGCUUCCUGAAGGUAAUACCCGGGUAUAAGGUUAUGGGGCUAGGGUAAGGUUUAAGGUUUUUGGCGUUAGGGUUAAAAUCACUGUCCAAAACCUUUGUAGGAACUCUUUUCCAACCUUUUGGAGUUAGUUAGACCUAAAAAAAAAAACGAAAAAUGAAAAAAAAAUGUU
Xyrichtys novacula (pearly razorfish) is the source of this 575-nucleotide non-coding RNA. Lineage: Eukaryota; Metazoa; Chordata; Actinopteri; Labriformes; Labridae. The record is from the annotation of a GenBank genome assembly.